AUAACAGAGGAAAGAUUUGACUGAUUGCAACCUCUUUGUAGUAAAUAAAGUUUCAAAAACAUUGAAAUUAAUUUUCUACAAAUAAAAAUGCUAAAGGCAGUGUA
Molecule: non-coding RNA, 104 nt
Organism: Algibacter lectus
Lineage: Bacteria; Pseudomonadati; Bacteroidota; Flavobacteriia; Flavobacteriales; Flavobacteriaceae
Source: Rfam